GAUGAACGCUAGCGGCAGGCCUAACACAUGCAAGUCGAGGGAGAAGCCUUCGGGCUGAAACCGGCGCACGGGUGCGUAACGCGUAUACAAUCUGCCUUUCACAUAGGGAUAGCCCGAAGAAAUUUGGAUUAAUACCUAAUGGUAUAUAGGAGCGGCAUCGUUUUUAUAUUAAAGCUACGGUGGUGAAAGAUGAGUAUGCGUUCUAUUAGCUAGUUGGAGAGGUAACGGCUCCCCAAGGCGACGAUAGAUAGGGGUUCUGAGAGGGAUGUCCCCCACACUGGUACUGAGAUACGGACCAGACUCCUACGGGAGGCAGCAGUGAGGAAUAUUGGACAAUGGUCGGAAGACUGAUCCAGCCAUGCCGCGUGCAGGAUGAAGGUCCUAUGGAUUGUAAACUGCUUUUGUAAGGGAAGAAUAAGGGGUACGUGUA
This 430-nucleotide ribosomal RNA is filed under the name Capnocytophaga sputigena. RNAcentral's name for it is "bacterial SSU rRNA". It matches the Rfam family "Bacterial small subunit ribosomal RNA", at positions 28 to 464 of the family's 1533-position model. The record is from RNAcentral. Lineage: Bacteria; Pseudomonadati; Bacteroidota; Flavobacteriia; Flavobacteriales; Flavobacteriaceae.